CUGUCAGUGCACCUGUGGCACCAGUUAUUAUCUUGAGUACAUUCCCUACCUGAAGGCUGAAAUGGCUAACUGUGGGAAGAGAGGUAAUUGUUGUAGCUCUACUCGUUUGAGAGUUUGUUGUUACAUACUUCCUGAGGGAAAUCCCAUUGAGCUCAACGCCCCUGAGUCUGUGCCCCCAAUUCUGCAUUCUGCAUCCGUUCAGCCUCUUGAGCCACUGUGUUUAUGAGAGAAUCUGUCCCCUCCCAUUCCUAUGACUGACAACACUCUCCAGUGAUGGUGUGAAGCCCACCAGGUGGGCAUUACAGGUUGGAACAAAGUUAUUACAUGGUUUGUGAAUCAUACCUAUACAAUGGUAGGUACCCACUUUAAUGCAAC
Long non-coding RNA from Gavialis gangeticus (Gharial), 375 nucleotides. RefSeq lists it as uncharacterized. The record is from RefSeq and is a predicted model, not a curated record. Lineage: Eukaryota; Metazoa; Chordata; Crocodylia; Gavialidae. The transcript has 3 exons.